RNAcentral lists this ribosomal RNA (406 nucleotides) under uncultured bacterium. RNAcentral's name for it is "partial 16S ribosomal RNA". It matches the Rfam family "Bacterial small subunit ribosomal RNA", at positions 30 to 526 of the family's 1533-position model. The record is from RNAcentral.
AUUGAACGCUGGCGGCAGGCCUAACACAUGCAAGUCGAGCGAGUGGCGGCCGGGUGAGUAAUGUAUGGGGCACUUCCUGAUAGAGGGGGAUAACUACUGGACACGAUGUCUAAUACCGCAUACCAUCGGCUGUUCCCAGAUGGGAUUAGCUUGUUGGUGGGGUAACGUCUCACCUAGGCGACGAUCCCUAGCUGGUAUGAUAGGAUGAACAGCAACACUGGAACUGAGACACGGCCCAGACGCCUACGGGAUCCAGCAGUGGGGAAGAUUGCACAAUGGGCGCAAGCCUGAUGCAGCCAUGCCGCGUGUAUGAAGAAGGCAUUCGGGUUGUAAAGUACUUUCAGCGGGGAGGCGUUACCCGCAGAAGAAGCACCGGCUAACUCCGUGCCAGCAGCCGCGGUAAUAC